Molecule: transfer RNA, 64 nt
Filed under: Leptomyxotermes doriae
Lineage: Eukaryota; Metazoa; Arthropoda; Insecta; Blattodea; Termitidae
Description: tRNA-Arg
Source: RNAcentral
GAGCGAGAAGCAAAUAUUGCAAUCAGUUUCGACCUGAUCCUAGAUAAUUAGUUAUCCACGCUUU